RNAcentral lists this long non-coding RNA (388 nucleotides) under Pan troglodytes (chimpanzee). RNAcentral's name for it is "long non-coding RNA NONPTRT017102". The record is from RNAcentral. Lineage: Eukaryota; Metazoa; Chordata; Mammalia; Primates; Hominidae.
CCAAACUUCACAAGUUGGGCCAAGUUGUGAAGCUAUGUACUCUUAACUACUAGUUUCGAGUUAAUUCAUGUGCCCAGUGGUGGCCUAAAUGUGGCUGAACUGAUGUCUCAUCUCUUGCUUUCUGAGACAUUCUUAUCUCUCAUCUUGGAGAGACUCCAUUGUAAUUUCUAUUCUUUAUCAGUUUCCUUUGCUGGCCCUCUCCCCCUGCUGGAUACCUCACCAUUGGUGGUACCCUGAGGCUAGCUGAAAGGCCUUGUGUGCCAGGCUAAGGCUACUGGACUUCGCUUUAUAAACCAAUAGGAGCCAUUGAUGAGAAGUAACACAAUCACACAUGUGCUUUAGUAUAAUGAUCAUAAGCCCAGCCUUCCAGCCACUCUCAUGAAGGUGU